GUGGGCGUAGCUCAAUGGUUAGAGCGCUGGACUGUGACUCCAGAGGCUGGGGGUUCGAAACCCCUCGUCCACCCCA
This 76-nucleotide transfer RNA is filed under the name Deltaproteobacteria bacterium. RNAcentral's name for it is "tRNA-His". It matches the Rfam family "tRNA". Rfam says of the family: Transfer RNA (tRNA) molecules are approximately 80 nucleotides in length. The record is from RNAcentral. Lineage: Bacteria; Pseudomonadati; Myxococcota; Myxococcia.